RNAcentral lists this transfer RNA (78 nucleotides) under Pseudomonadota bacterium. RNAcentral describes it as "Proteobacteria bacterium (wastewater metagenome) tRNA-Glu". It matches the Rfam family "tRNA". Rfam says of the family: Transfer RNA (tRNA) molecules are approximately 80 nucleotides in length. Their secondary structure includes four short double-helical elements and three loops (D, anti-codon, and T loops). Lineage: Bacteria; Pseudomonadati; Pseudomonadota. The record is from RNAcentral.
GUCCCCUUCGUCUAGCCCGGUCCAGGACACCGCACUUUCACUGCGAUAACGCGGGUUCAAAUCCCGCAGGGGACGCCA